Molecule: ribosomal RNA, 452 nt
Filed under: uncultured Sphingobacteriales bacterium
Lineage: Bacteria; Pseudomonadati; Bacteroidota; Sphingobacteriia; Sphingobacteriales
Description: bacterial SSU rRNA
Rfam family: Bacterial small subunit ribosomal RNA
Source: RNAcentral
CGGAGGAGCAUGUGGUUUAAUUCGAUGAUACGCGAGGAACCUUUACCUGGGCUCGAACGUAAGAUGACUGUAGGUGAAAGCUUACAUCUCUUCGGAGCAUUUUACGAGGUGCUGCAUGGUUGUCGUCAGCUCGUGCCGUGAGGUGUCGGGUUAAGUCCCAUAACGAGCGCAACCCUACCUUUAGUUGCCAUCAGGUUAAGCUGGGGACUCUAAAGGAACUGCCUACGCAAGUAGUGAGGAAGGCGGGGACGACGUCAAAUCAGCACGGCCCUUACGUCCAGGGCUACACACGUGCUACAAUGGCCGAUACAGAGGGCAGCUACCUGGUGACAGGAUGCAAAUCUCCAAAGUCGGUCUCAGUUCGGAUCGGAGUCUGCAACCCGACUCCGUGAAGUUGGAUUCGCUAGUAAUCGCGCAUCAGCCAUGGCGCGGUGAAUACGUUCCCGGGCCUU